RNAcentral lists this ribosomal RNA (191 nucleotides) under uncultured bacterium. RNAcentral describes it as "partial 16S ribosomal RNA". It matches the Rfam family "Bacterial small subunit ribosomal RNA", at positions 1310 to 1500 of the family's 1533-position model. The record is from RNAcentral.
ACCCGACUACACGAAGCCGGAAUCGCUAGUAAUCGCGGAUCAGAAUGCCGCGGUGAAUACGUUCCCGGGUCUUGUACACACCGCCCGUCACACCAUGGGAGUCGGAAAUGCCCGAAGUCAGUGACCCAACCGGAAGGAAGGAGCUGCCGAAGGUGGAGCCGGUAACUGGGGUGAAGUCGUAACAAGGUACC